GACGAACGCUGGCGGCGUGCUUAACACAUGCAAGUCGAACGGAAAGGCCCUGCUUUUGUGGGGUUCUCGAUUGGCGAACGGGUGAGUAACACGUGAGUAACCUGCCCUUGACUUUGGGAUAACUUCAGGAAACUGGGGCUAAUACCGGAUAGGAGCUCCUGCUGCAUGGUGGGGGUUGGAAAGUUUCGGCGGUUGGGGAUGGACUCGCGGCUUAUCAGCUUGUUGGUGGGGUAGUGGCUUACCAAGGUUUUGACGGGUAGCCGGCCUGAGAGGGUGACCGGCCACAUUGGGCCUGAGAUACGGCCCAGACUCCUACGGGAGGCAGCAGUGGGGAAUAUUGCACAAUGGGCGGAAGCCUGAUGCAGCAACGCCGCGUGCGGGAUGACGGCCUUCGGGUUGUAAACCGCUUUCGCCUGUGACGAAGCGUGAGUGACGGUAAUGGGUAAAGAAGCACCGGCUAACUACGUG
Molecule: ribosomal RNA, 468 nt
Filed under: uncultured bacterium
Lineage: Bacteria
Description: partial 16S ribosomal RNA
Rfam family: Bacterial small subunit ribosomal RNA
Source: RNAcentral